Molecule: ribosomal RNA, 492 nt
Filed under: uncultured bacterium
Lineage: Bacteria
Description: partial 16S ribosomal RNA
Rfam family: Bacterial small subunit ribosomal RNA
Source: RNAcentral
AGUGAACGCUGGCGGUAGGCCUAACACAUGCAAGUCGAACGGCAGCACAGUAAGAGCUUGCUCUUCCGGGUGGCGAGUGGCGGACGGGUGAGGAAUACAUCGGAACCUACUUUUUCGUGGGGGAUAACGUAGGGAAACUUACGCUAAUACCGCAUACGACCUACGGGUGAAAGCAGGGGAUCUUCGCACCUUGCGCGAUUGAAUGAGCCGAUGUCGGAUUAGCUAGUUGGGGGGGUAAAGGCCCACCAAGGCGAGGAUCCGUAGCUGGUCUGAGAGGAUGAUCAGCCACACUGGAGCUGAGACACGGUCCAGACUCCUACGGGAGGCAGCAGUGGGGAAUAUUGGACAAUGGGCGCAAGCCUGAUCCAGCCAUACCGCGUGUGUGAAGAAGGCCUUCGGGUUGUAAAGCCCUUUUGUUGGGAAAGAAAAGCAGCAGGUUAAUACCCCGCUGUUCUGACGGUACCCAAAGAAUAAGCACCGGCUAACUUCGUG